Molecule: long non-coding RNA, 361 nt
Organism: Amblyraja radiata (thorny skate)
Lineage: Eukaryota; Metazoa; Chordata; Chondrichthyes; Rajiformes; Rajidae
Exons: 2
Source: RefSeq, a predicted model, not a curated record
UUGUGUUCUUAAUAAAUACAUUUGUAUCUUGGUACUCAACAUAAACUAAUAUGUAACAUUAUAAUAUGGUGUGUGUAACCUUGGCUGUAGCUAGAACAUAAGGGUGGCUAAGUAGACAUAGCUGGGAGAUUAGAGUAACAGUCGGAAGUUAAUGGUGGCAAGACAGAGAAUAUUAGAAUCGAAGAUAGAUUAAUGCGAAAGGAGUGCAGCAUGCAAGAUAAGGUAGAAAAGAUAUGACUGAAAAACUGUAAUAAAAAGCAGCCUUUUUCUGAAAUCAGAGAGCAAUUAGAGAACGGACAGGUGGUGUCAUCUCUGAAUGUUCCAGCAGAUGUUUGCAAAUAAAGGCUUUUGUCAUCUUGAA